AGCCACUCCCACCAGCUAUAAAAUUUCACAAAUCCACAAAACAAACAAGUUGCCAUUCUGCAAAACCCUCAUACCUAUGGAAUCCUCAUUUCCUGCGAGGUGUGGAUUUCAGCUAUUUUUAACCUGGAUGUGUUCUGUGAUAUGUUUCCCACACAGCACAGAAACUGGCACAGCUGAGGGGCAGGAAAGAGCAUAGCUUUAAUUCCUGUUGGCUCAGUCACAUUUGCUCAACAUGACUGAAAACCCCCUUCACCUCUAGAAAUGCAAAAGUGAAUGUGGAUCUACAUUGGAAUCUUCUGCCCUUGUAGCCGGGAGCCAGGAGGGCUGGCGCUCGGGACACCUCCUCCUGGUGCGCUGCCAAGGACGGUGGCCGUGUCCUGCGGCCAGGGCGGUGGCCCCGGGCACUCGGCAUCCGUCCUGCGGCUCGCCGACCCUCCCCUCGAGACCUACUUCUGCCGGGACAGGCAAGGUAACUCGCUCUGAAAAUAGCUGGGACGGCGGCCAGCCGAGAUUAAUGCCUUCAUUAACGUCCCCGGUUUAUUUAUAGGCUUAAAAAUGCCUUGGACCUGCAAACUGAGCACAGUUGCUCCGUGGAAGGCAGGGAAUCACAGGUCUCCUGCUUCUGCCUUUCCCCUUCCUGCUAUUUCAUUCUGAUUGCUGGGACUGUAAAACCUCUGGAGCAGGCACUGUUUCCCAUUGUGAAGCUACUUUGUAAACCUUCCUAACUGAAGGGACACACACAGAUACUCUUUUUCAUUCUUUCUUUUUUUUUUUUGUCCCAAGAAUGAUGUAUUUGUCUGGUCUCCUUCCUCUACCAACUUCUUUUUGUGUGCACACUGUGUCCUGUAGCCCUCUUGGAGAAAAUUCUCUUUUUGAUGAAUUCCUGAGGCAAGGACUGAGCAGCCAUCACAGGAAUUAGUGAUUUCCUACCUUGGGUUUUAAACUGUGAGCUCUGUGGAAGGAAGACUGAGAUUCUCAUGGCUGUGGAGAGCAUGGAGAGCACUUAGGACAUGUAGAGCCCUAGUGAGAAAUGCAGAUGCAAUUAGUGAUCGUGCAGGUCUUCCAACAAAAGCAGCAGAGCUAGCCCAGGACCCAGGUCCUCCAGGAGCCUCAUGGGACUGGUGAGAAAAGAAAAAACCAUCCCAAGUGUGUUGGCCCCAGAAGAGGAGAUUUUGGCUUGUAACCUGUGGCCAUACUGCCUGGCCUGUUUCCCAGAGGUCAAUGAAAGGCUGGCAGCUUCGAAAAAAAUCACAGCUCCAUUGUGCUCCAAAGUCAUACUGAAUGAUUCAGAUGGAAAGAAAAACCCACGUCAGAAGGAACAGGGGACUCAAAGACCAGUGUCGAGGCCAGCAGACCAGGGACAUCUAUCCCACGCAGCAGACACCCUGAGAAUGUUGUACCCUGGGACAGCAGCGACAUUGUGGUUUACCCCUCUGUGGAAGACAAGUGCUGCUCCCGGUAUUGGGGUGUCCCUGAGCACCUCUGGCCCCACGGGACUGGCAUCGAUUGCCUGGGGGUGCUGGGGCAGCAGGAAAACCAUGCUGUCCUACCUGGAGGAUGCUGAUCCAGCUCCCAGCAGCUGGGGGAGAUGAACGCACUCCUUGCUCCUGGAGCAGGGCUGCCAGCAGUGGGUCAGGCAGGGCCGGAGAAGGGACAGGGUCACCGGCGGCAGAGGCAGGCAGGCAGAGCCCGGGGGCUCCUGGGCGGAAGCAGAGCAUGCAGUGAUGGAGACAGCGUUGCCAUCACCGAACAUCUGGUGCGAAGGCUCCCCAAAAAUAGAUCGCUUCCUUCUUCCACCUCAAAGGAAACUCUGUUGGAAGGAAACUCAGAUACAGCAGGGCUGGUGCGAGGUGGGGUCUCGUUCACUGUCAGCCUCCCACCGGGAGCCACUUAAACAUUCCGGGGUGUGACUCUGGGACCAGACAUUAAUCUCAGGCAGGUUCUAAGGGAUCAGUCCUGGGAAACGCCCCGACAACCCACGUGGGUGCCGAGCCUCCCAGCGCCCCGGAGCAGAAACCCACCAGCCCUUUCCAUCGAUGUCUGGAAUUGCCAGCCCAAUCCCUCUCUUCCCAAAAGCCGCGCCGGUGCCAAGGGGCUCAGGCUGUGAUCAGCCCUCACCUGCAUUUUCCCAUGCCAGUUUUACAUCACAGUGCUGCUUCACAGCAUCUUCCUUAUUGGCAGGCGUCAGGAGAAAUGUGUGUCAACAAAUCUGAAGCGAGCGUAAGCGCCGCUACAGUCAAGUCUGAUAAUAAAACAUGAGUCACUGUUAUUCAAUCAUUUACCAGCGCACGUCUUGCAAGAAAGUUCUCUCUUCUAAGAAUCACCACCACAGAAAUUUGGGAGUUGUUUUAAAGAGCACCCUGAUUUUACUUUCAGCUGCGUGGCUGAAUUUUCAGAGGGCUGGUUCCUGCUAUCCCUACUUGCAGCCCACCGCCCCGUGCUCCCUCUGCAUCUGCGUUUCAAAGCCAGGCAUGACCCGAUGCUCUUCCCAGGAGUUUUCACACUCACUGUCUCCCCAACACCAGGAGUGAACUGGCAGCAAGGAGAGGGCUGCUGGGACUGACCCCCCCAGUUGCCAUCAAUGCCCCCCACACCAUCUGUAGUGUUGCUGCACAGUGUUCCAGGGAUGCACAAUUUUCCCUGGGGACGGGAUGAGGAAGAGCAUGGUCAACCCCAGCAUUUUGGCCAGGAAGACUUCUUCCCAUAAAAAUAUUAUUUUCAUUGUUUUCCUUUAUUUCAGUUUGGGAAGGAGCAGGAGGGGUCAGGAAUGUCAUCCCAGACAUUUCUUCAAAACUGUUUUUAUCCUUGGUAACAAAUGCCCCUGCCAAACACAGCAGCACACGUCCUCGGUUUCCCCUCCAUAAGCCUGAUUUUUUGAAUGGCUUCUUGGAAAAAGCAUUUACAUGGUGACCUCUUGCUGCUGUAAGAUGUGCAGGGAGAUGGGUCCUUUCCAGGCAUUCAAGCUGCAGUGCUUGGUCCUUCCUGUUUUUACUGAGGAACUUUUGGGAGGUCAGAAAUACAUGAAUUGAGCUUUUGCUGCCUUAAUAGGUGAAAGGCUGCUGGAAGCACGUGGAUAAACUUCCUCUGUGCCAAAUGACCGUCAUUUAAGUCAAACACUUUUUAACAAUAGAGGCAAAAUUUUAAAAGGUGUAGUUUAAAAAAAACCCCACAUUUGCCUGUCUGUCCUCCUUGCUCUGUGCUGCUCUGCCUCUUGCUGCCUAGCUUGAUCUCGAGCACUCCUGCUGCAGGGAAGGAGCUUCUGAUGUGGCAAGCAGGUAGACUAAGCUAAUUUAUCACUCUAGUCUUUUAUUCCAUCACAGAGUGGCAAAAGGGAAGGCUCGUCUCUCUUGUGGGUCACCUCUAAUAGCAAUUGCUUCAGCAAGAUGGAUUUCAAAAUUAGGUGCUCUUGAAGCAGAAGCCACACUGUAUUUUUCAACAGCACAAAGCAGCUGAAAGAGGAAUCUGACCUUCAUUCUUCAUAAUAAAUUCACUGGGGAAAAAAAAAAUCCAUCUUUGUUUUUCAGUUUGAAGUACUGUCAAAAGAAAAGCCAGGGCACACACAACAUUUACAAAAUAAAAAUACAAGACAAUUUCAGCAAAAUUAUAAAAAACUCAGGGAUUUACUUUUCCUGCUUCUUCUUAUUUAAACAUAGAAUAGAGUCUGACAGCUUGCCUGCAAGUACAUUGUUUUGAAAUAAAGGCUGGUGUUAAUUUAAAGUGGAUCUAUACUAAGCUAAAUUAAGGCCACCUCAAAGUGCUUUUCAGAUGUAGAGCGCAAUCCAGUAGCUAAGUCUGGGGAAAAGUUUAUUGAUACACACCCACAUUUAGGCACUCCAUUGGACUUAGCAUGUUUGUAAAAUGUCUCUGAAUGUAUUUCAGGUGCUAAAAUAAUGUCUGCUGCAGCCUGCCAAAGGAAAAUGUCACAGUUAUUUUCUGCUAAAGUGCCCCAAAAAGAUGUGAUCUGCAGACAAGUACAGGCUCGUAAGCUAAAGAAUAUAAUGGAGGAAUGCUUGAAAAUAUUUGGCAUUUUACAGUGAUUAAUAAAAUGAUUGGUACAUUUGAGUCCUAAAAGCCUGUAGCUGGUCAGCUGUCACUCGCACAGCCUGGAAAUGGUGAAAAUUAAUCAUCAAAAUUAAACACUACCUUUGUAUUUUGCCAUGUCUCCAUUACAGACUCUGUAUUGAAUAACUCAUUAUAACCCAACGCAGCACAUUGCCUUUAUUCCUUUAAUCUCCUGUCAGGCAUAGCUGGGAAGGCAGAAUGGGAAUGUUUAUUCUAACCAGCAGGUCUGACCCUUAGGCUAGUGAGAAUUAGGAGAGGUUUUUUCCAAGCUCGGCUUGUCCCCCAUCCAGAUAACCUAAUGCUGUGGCAUUGUGCAAUCCACCUGGCUCCUCUUCUGGAGGAAUCACUCAAAUCCAUCUUCCCACUUUCCAGCAAGCCUAGAUCCAGCUGUUUCUCAGCCUUUUCUUUCCAGGAUGGGCUGGUUACACUGAUAAAAGCAGCUGUAAAGAGGCUGUGUCAGCAGUGUCCUAAUUAAGCUGCAGAAAUCAGCCACUUCACACCCCUUAGUUCAGGUUUCCAGGGGCCCGUUUGCCUGGACAGAAACAUUUUGUUAAAUAAGCUCAGCUUUUUGCUAGAGCUGGUGAGAUCACUGAAGGCUUGGCAGGAGGGAUGAACGCUGUCCAUACAUUUAGUUAAACCAGCUUAAAAUUACAGAGCAUAUCUAGCAUAUCUAAGUGGCUCCUUUCAGGACCAACUCAAAUAAACAAACAUAAACAUCAGUCUGGCUUCAUUUGGCAUUCAAGGUAUCGUAACUCCCACAUAUUAACAUUCAAGUUCUCUCCAGACCAAUCAAUAUUUGUUGUUGUUUAGAAAAGGAAAAGCUUUUUCUUGACCUCUGCAACAAGCAUUUACAUGAAGGUUAAAGCCGAGAAUGUUUUUGAUAGUGAUGUCAAGGCUGUCAGCCCCCUGUGGGGAACCACCACCUGAACAGUCGCAAUUUCACCGCUCAUUAUCCCUCUUCUACAGCAGGCACCCACUUUUAAAGAUCAAGGGGAGGCAGGUUCAAGCUGAAGUGCCAUCAGUGACUGACCUCCGACCAAGUAAUCCAGGAGUGGCCAAGUCUGACCGAUCGGUGAGGAGGCUCAGACACUUUUGACCAAGAGGAUUUAUUCAACCACUGGAGCUUGCAGGGGAGCACAGCUGCGGAACAGGAAGGUCCUUUCCAGUAACAACCCUCAGCAGCUCUUCCUUAAAAAGGGCAAUUAAUCUCCCUAUGGCAUUCCUCUUCAGCGAAGAACACUUCCACUGUUUCAGAACAGUUUUACAGCAGACACAAGCAAAGACUUCAGUCCCAAUAUCCACGUGCUGGCUCAGCUGAAUUACAGGCACCUAGCGAGUGCUCCUGAGAAAACCAUGGCCACUCUGGAGACCUGGGGAAGCUUUGGGGCAUCUCCCACCCAACACUGGCCUCUGCAGUGAGAUACAGGGGGCUCCCUUCCUCAGCAAGCAGCACUGAUAAUUACAUUACCUACCCUCUUUGGCCUGGAGCACACUGUGUUACCCACGUGCUGAAGGCAAGGCAAAGGCCAGGCCUGGCUGCCAGGCAAGCGCUCACUACUCCUUUUUAAGUUCAGCUGAAUCCUCUCGGUUACUUCUGUCAACAUCAAGCACCGAGAACAAAGGCACAAGAUUAGGGGGAUCUCAUUAAGUAUGCUUGUUCCAAGAACAAGAAAUGUGUCUACUUUCCUCUGAUGACCUGGGGAAACAAAAAAACCCUUCAGCAAAGAAAAUUUAUUUGUCAUCGGUUAAGAGCAUUUGAAUGUGUAAUAUCCAGUUUAAGGAGACAAAGAAAGUCUGUCUGUCCUACCCUUUCUGUAUCAAGACCUUGCAAACAGCAUCAUUCUUCUGCUUGGAACAGAAAGCAGGGAUGUACACAUCUGAGAACACCAACACACACAAAAAGCCCCAAAUCCUUAGGGUAUUAAGUGAGCCAUUUAACUAAGUAUUUAAAACCUCUGCAAUUAUUAGUUUAUUAGUAUCAUCCAGGAUUUCAGAUGUUCAAUAUUUCUCCUGAAGUUAUACAUAAAUGCAAAUUGAAAUAAGAAUCUGAAAGUCAAAAUUGUAUAACAAAACAAUACUCCAUCACAAAAGCGUGUAAAAUUACAAGAAUGCUUUUUUUUGUUUGUUUUUAAACACUGGCACUUAAGAGAACCAUAAUUUUGCAACCACAAAAUUGCCGAAUUGUCCCCCAGACUGGUAAGCAGGUAUAUGUGAAAAUAGUUACAGCUGCCAGCACUUGAAGUUUUACUAAAUAUGCAAAAAACCCCUUAGCUUUGGUUUUGGAAGAGAACUGUAUUUGACCAAAUUAGACAUUGUUGGUAUACCAUAAACAUUUAACUUUUUAAUGCAAAAUUUAAUAAAAUGUACUUUUCCAUACAACUAUAUUUAACUUAAAAAUGGGCAAACAUCAAGAGUGCGGUAUAAAACCUAACAGGAAAAAUACAUCUUAUCUCAUUUUCAAUUUGAGACAAUAUACAACUUUGUUUAAAGGGCUAAAACUAGAAUUUCAAGAAUACAAAUAUGAAUUUACAUAGAUUUAACAAAUAAUAAUGGUACCAUUUAUAGAAAUCUUAGAAAGAAAAAUCAUUUCUUGUGGGCCCUUUGCUACCAGGAGUCUCAUGGUAUAAAGCCCAUGGCCAUCACCAGACCUGUCACCAAAAAAUAAUAUGGUCAUUUCAUGCUUUUAACUUUACACAUUUUAGGUACGCUCAUCACUCCCAGGUGUUCAGAGAUUUACAAAUAUAACUUCCAUUACAUGGUAACAGAGUCACACGUGUAAAUUUCUCUACACCAGAUGGACAUACACUCUUCCUAUGGGUCCUUCUAGGACAAAAUUUAACAUUCCCUCCCUCCCCACCCCCCAAAGUAUUUAGUUUCUGUAAAAUUGAACUCUAUACUUCUCAACUCUCCAAGACUGGUAAACUCAUGCAACGCAAUAGAAUAUUACAUUUCACAAAAAUCUGAACAAGUAUCCGGAGUUUGCUGAGAUUGAAUUUUUGUUGUUUCCAGUUAUGGAAGAUUUUCAUCAUAUGCCUAUAUAUUUCUUUUCUUACCCUAUCAUGAUAAUGCAGGGUAUGCAGAUCAAAGCUUUGUUUAUCAGCUGGUUAUAUGAAAGAUGAAAACUGUAAUAUUCCCGUGAUCCCAUACGGGCAUUCAAUAAAGCAAAAGAUGAGUUCCCCUCAAAAAAAAAAAAAAAAAAA
This is a non-coding RNA of Zonotrichia albicollis (white-throated sparrow), 7262 nucleotides long. Lineage: Eukaryota; Metazoa; Chordata; Aves; Passeriformes; Passerellidae. The record is from RefSeq and is a predicted model, not a curated record.